AUAAUAUAAAAAUAUGUAUUUAAGUUUUGUAAAACAAAGGAAAAUAUGAGGACACGGAGUUCGGACUUUAUGUAAGUUAACACCAAACUGUUGUAAUUCAACCAGUGACAUCUAUGAUCAAAAAAUGAUUGUUUGUUUGCCGUUCUCACAGGUUAGAGGUUCUGUCCUCUUUGAUUUAAUAAAGAAAAAUAAACACACGAAAGUUAUGGCAGAAGAAGAAUCUGAUAACAUGCAGGUGGAUGGAAAUAGAAAAUGUAAGGAAUGCGACAGGGAAAAGAACAGGGAAAAAUGUCUUUUCUCCAGGAGUUGCUCAAAAGUCACCAUACAGACAUGUCUGAGAGCCGCUCCAGAGUCGGUCACCAGAAAUCAUCUGAGCUGAUCGCAAGAUCUCCCAUCGCUGAACUUUCAAUAAGAGUCAGUUCUUUCAGUUAUUCGUGCAAUACAGUUCAGCUGUGUCAUAGUCAGUGACAAAGUGCCCUGUAAAGCUAGCGAUUGCUUUUUCAACAAUUUCCUCCACCAUCAGAUCAUCUGAUAGAACUAGUGGUCAUAACUCACUCAAUAAGUGCCCACGAAGUGAAUCUUCAACAAGGACUAAAGACUGUAAAAUUGGGGACUAGAGAUUAUAGUGUCUCAUUCAAGAUUUUGUUUAACUAGUGGGCUGGCCCACUAUAUAUGUUUAUAUAUAUAUAUUAAUCUUUCUCCUUCAUAGUGUUUCAA
Molecule: long non-coding RNA, 717 nt
Filed under: Androctonus crassicauda
Lineage: Eukaryota; Metazoa; Arthropoda; Arachnida; Scorpiones; Buthidae
Source: RNAcentral